GAUGAACGCUGGCGGAAUGCUUUACACAUGCAAGUCAAACGGCAGCACGGACUUCGGUCUGGUGGCGAGUGGCGAACGGGUGAGUAACAUAUCGGGACGUAUCCAAUAAUGGGGGAUAACGAGUCGAAAGAUUCGCUAAUACCGCAUACGCCCUACGGGGGAAAGCUGGGGACCUUCGGGCCUGGCGUUAAUGGAGCGGCCGAUAUCUGAUUAGCUAGUUGGGGAGGAAAAGGCUCACCAAGGCGACGAUCAGUAGGUGGGCUAGAAGGACGACCAUCCACACUGGAACAUAGCCACGGUCCAGACGCCUACGGGAGGCAGCAGUUGGGAAUUUUGGACAAUGGGCGCAAGCCUGAUCCAGCCAUUCCGCGUGAGUGAAGAAGGCCUUCGGGUUGUAAAGCUCUUUCGCAAGGGAAGAAAACUUAGCCACUAACAUUGGUUGAGGUUGACGGUACCUUGAUAAGAAGCACCGGCUAACUACGUGCCAGCCGCCGCCGUAA
RNAcentral lists this ribosomal RNA (500 nucleotides) under uncultured bacterium. RNAcentral's name for it is "partial 16S ribosomal RNA". It matches the Rfam family "Bacterial small subunit ribosomal RNA", at positions 28 to 523 of the family's 1533-position model. The record is from RNAcentral.